GGAAGGGUCGCCUAGCUGGUUUAUGGCGCUGACCUGGAAAGUCAGUAGGGCGGAAACGUCCUCGAGGGUUCGAAUCCCUCCCCUUCCG
RNAcentral lists this transfer RNA (88 nucleotides) under Candidatus Gottesmanbacteria bacterium. RNAcentral's name for it is "tRNA-Ser". It matches the Rfam family "tRNA". Rfam says of the family: Transfer RNA (tRNA) molecules are approximately 80 nucleotides in length. Their secondary structure includes four short double-helical elements and three loops (D, anti-codon, and T loops). Lineage: Bacteria; Candidatus Gottesmaniibacteriota. The record is from RNAcentral.